CACAGAUCUUAUACCUUGAUGCAGCUGCAAACAACAAAGCCUCAACUGGAUGGCCGUCAAGAGUAUGUGGUGACCAAGGGGUCGAGAAUGUGGACAUUGCCAGGUGCAUGUUCUCAGUACGAGGAACUGGACGUGGAAGCUUCAUAGCCGGGAAAAGUGUUCACAAUCAGAGAGUGGAGCGGCUGUGGCGCGACGUGUGGUCAGGAGUCACCUGCACAUACUAUGAUGACCUACACUCACUGGAGGAAGAGGGGCUGCUUGACCUGUCAGACGGGGUUGACCUGUUCUGUGUGCAUUAUGCGAUUUCCUAGAUUCCUAUUAUGUGACUGAGGUCUGAUCUGAAAGGCUUCUUGAAUAGUUGGAACCACCAUCCUUAAAGAACCGAAGGAAACCUGACCCCUAACCAGCUGUGGCACAUCGGGAUGCUCCAACCAUCUGUGGUUGAGCCAGAUGUACAGCCCCCAGAGAAUAUCCCAGAGAGUUGUGACCCUGAGGAUGGAGUGGUGGUGACUGAAAUUCCCUGCCCCCUGUCAGAGAGGAACUUUGUCAUCCUGCAAGAGGUA
Alosa sapidissima (American shad) is the source of this 563-nucleotide long non-coding RNA. RefSeq lists it as uncharacterized. The transcript is spliced from 4 exons. Lineage: Eukaryota; Metazoa; Chordata; Actinopteri; Clupeiformes; Clupeidae. The record is from RefSeq and is a predicted model, not a curated record.